This 479-nucleotide ribosomal RNA is filed under the name uncultured bacterium. Its description in RNAcentral is "partial 16S ribosomal RNA". It matches the Rfam family "Bacterial small subunit ribosomal RNA", at positions 28 to 507 of the family's 1533-position model. The record is from RNAcentral.
GAUGAACGCUGGCGGCGUGCUUAACACAUGCAAGUCGAACGAAGCACUUAAGAUUGAUUCUUCGGAUGACGUCUUUUGUGACUUAGUGGCGGACGGGUGAGUAACGCGUGGGUAACCUGCCUCACACAGGGGGAUAACAGUUAGAAAUGACUGCUAAUACCGCAUAACCCGAUAGGAUCGCAUGAUCCAGACGGAAAAGAUUUAUCGGUGUGAGAUGGACCCGCGUCUGAUUAGCUAGUUGGUGAGGUAACGGCCCACCAAGGCGACGAUCAGUAGCCGGCCUGAGAGGGUGAACGGCCACAUUGGGACUGAGACACGGCCCAAACUCCUACGGGAGGCAGCAGUGGGGAAUAUUGCACAAUGGGGGAAACCCUGAUGCAGCGACGCCGCGUGAGUGAAGAAGUAUUUCGGUAUGUAAAGCUCUAUCAGCAGGGAAGAAAAUGACGGUACCUGACGAAGAAGCCCCGGCUAACUACGUG